Molecule: ribosomal RNA, 443 nt
Filed under: 'Cocos nucifera' lethal yellowing phytoplasma 40T-15
Lineage: Bacteria; Bacillati; Mycoplasmatota; Mollicutes; Acholeplasmatales; Acholeplasmataceae
Description: bacterial SSU rRNA
Rfam family: Bacterial small subunit ribosomal RNA
Source: RNAcentral
UGAGGCACGAAAGCGUGGGGAGCAAACAGGAUUAGAUACCCUGGUAGUCCACGCUGUAAACGAUGAGUACUAAACGUUGGAUAAAACCAGUGUUGAAGUUAACACAUUAAGUACUCCGCCUGAGUAGUACGUACGCAAGUAUGAAACUUAAAGGAAUUGACGGGACUCCGCACAAGCGGUGGAUCAUGUUGUCUAAUUCGAAGGUACCCGAAAAACCUCACCAGGUCUUGACAUGCUUCUGCAAAGUUGUAGAAAUACAGUGGAGGUUAUCAGUUGCACAGGUGGUGCAUGGUUGUCGUCAGCUCGUGUCGUGAGAUGUUGGGUUAAGUCCCGCAACGAGCGCAACCCUUAUUGUUAGUUACCAGCACGUAAUGGUGGGGACUUAGCAAGACUGCCAGUGAUAAAUUGGAGGAAGGUGGGGACGACGUCAAAUCACCAUGCCC